Molecule: ribosomal RNA, 253 nt
Filed under: uncultured bacterium
Lineage: Bacteria
Description: partial 16S ribosomal RNA
Rfam family: Bacterial small subunit ribosomal RNA
Source: RNAcentral
UACAGAGGCCACAAGCGUUAGUCGGAAUCACUGGGCUUAAAGGGUGCGUAGGUGGGCCUGUAAGUGUUCUGUGAAAGCCCUCAGCUCAACUGAGGAACAGCAGGGCAUACUACAGGCCUCGAGGCAAGUAUGGGUGGGCAGAACAGUAGGUGGAGCGGUGAAAUGCGUAGAUAUCUACUGGAAUGCCGAUGGUGAAGACGGCCCACUGGGCUUGUCCUGACACUGAGGCACGAAAGCGUGGGGAGCAAACAGG